This 501-nucleotide ribosomal RNA is filed under the name uncultured bacterium. RNAcentral's name for it is "partial 16S ribosomal RNA". It matches the Rfam family "Bacterial small subunit ribosomal RNA", at positions 29 to 523 of the family's 1533-position model. The record is from RNAcentral.
AUUGAACGCUGGCGGCAUGCCUUACACAUGCAAGUCGAACGGCAGCACGGGUGCUUGCACCUGGUGGCGAGUGGCGAACGGGUGAGUAAUACAUCGGAACGUACCUUAUCGUGGGGGAUAACGCAGCGAAAGCUGUGCUAAUACCGCAUACGCCCUGAGGGGGAAAGCGGGGGAUCGCAAGACCUCGCGCGAUUAGAGCGGCCGAUGCCUGAUUAGCUUGUUGGUGGGGCAAAAGCCCACCAAGGCGACGAUCAGUAGCUGGUCUGAGAGGACGAUCAGCCACACUGGGACUGAGACACGGCCCAGACUCCUACGGGAGGCAGCAGUGGGGAAUUUUGGACAAUGGGGGCAACCCUGAUCCAGCAAUGCCGCGUGAGUGAAGAAGGCCUUCGGGUUGUAAAGCUCUUUUGUCAGGGAAGAAACACCGGCUCUAACACUGUCCGGGAAUGACGGUACCUGAAGAAUAAGCACCGGCUAACUACGUGCCAGCCGCCGCCGUAA